Molecule: ribosomal RNA, 622 nt
Filed under: uncultured Geobacteraceae bacterium
Lineage: Bacteria; Pseudomonadati; Thermodesulfobacteriota; Desulfuromonadia; Geobacterales; Geobacteraceae
Description: bacterial SSU rRNA
Rfam family: Bacterial small subunit ribosomal RNA (bases 76-622)
Source: RNAcentral
GYUGUUUYUAGCUGUUUCAUUGGSUGUAYAACKACGSSCWSKRRAKSCSSMMUCRKGGWYGRKRUKUUUCCAWUKCGCCCUUAGAGUUUGAUCCUGGCUCAGAACGAACGCUGGCGGCGUGCUUAACACAUGCAAGUCGAACGUGAUCCGGAGCUUGCUCCGGUGAAAGUGGCGCACGGGUGAGUAACGCGUGGAUAAUCUGCCCUGGUAUCUGGGAUAACAUCUCGAAAGGGGUGCUAAUACCGGAUAAGCCUACGGACUCUUCGGAGUCUGCAGGAAAAGGUGGCCUCUAUUUAUAAGCUAUCGUAUCAGGAUGAGUCCGCGUACCAUUAGCUAGUUGGUGGGGUAAUGGCCUACCAAGGCUACGAUGGUUAGCUGGUCUGARAGGAUGAUCUGCCGCACUGGAACUGAGACACGGUCCAGACUCCUACGGGAGGCAGCAGUGGGGAAUUUUGCGCAAUGGGGGAAACCCUGACGCAGCAACGCCGCGUGAGUGAUGAAGGCUUUCGGGCCGUAAAGCUCUGUCAGAGGGGAAGAAAUGGAACUGGCUAAUAUCCAGUUUUCUUGACGGUACCCUCAAUGGAAGCACCGGCUAACUCCGUGCCAGCAGCCGCGGUAAUAC